Molecule: non-coding RNA, 72 nt
Organism: Phthorimaea operculella (potato tuberworm)
Lineage: Eukaryota; Metazoa; Arthropoda; Insecta; Lepidoptera; Gelechiidae
Source: the annotation of a GenBank genome assembly
GCAUCGAUAGCUCAGUGGCAGAGCGGUGGGGCGUUUACCCAUGCGGCCCGGGUUCGAUCCCCGGUCGACGCA